GAAAUUCGCCUGCAUGAAGUUGGAAUUGCUAGUAAUCGCGAAUCAGAAUGUCGCGGUGAAUACGUUCCCGGGCCUUGUACACACCGCCCGUCACACCAUGAGAGUCGAUAACACCCGAAGCCUGUGAGCUAACCUUUUAGGAGGCAGCAGUCGAAGGUGGGGUUGAUGAUUGGGGUGAAGUCGUAACAAGGUAUC
This 195-nucleotide ribosomal RNA is filed under the name uncultured bacterium. Its description in RNAcentral is "partial 16S ribosomal RNA". It matches the Rfam family "Bacterial small subunit ribosomal RNA", at positions 1307 to 1500 of the family's 1533-position model. The record is from RNAcentral.